RNAcentral lists this ribosomal RNA (497 nucleotides) under uncultured bacterium. Its description in RNAcentral is "partial 16S ribosomal RNA". It matches the Rfam family "Bacterial small subunit ribosomal RNA", at positions 28 to 507 of the family's 1533-position model. The record is from RNAcentral.
GAUGAACGCUGGCGGCGUGCCUAAUACAUGCAAGUCGAGCGAAAAGACGAGGAGCUUGCUCCUCUGACGUUAGCGGCGGACGGGUGAGUAACACGUGGAUAACCUACCUAUAAGACUGGGAUAACUUCAGGAAACCGGAGCUAAUACCGGAUAAUAUAUUGAACCGCAUGGUUCAAUAGUGAAAGACGGGUUUGCUGUCACUUAUCGAUGGAUCCGCGCCGCAUUAGCUAGUUGGUAAGGUAACGGCUUACCAAGGCAACGAUGCGUAGCCGACCUGAGAGGGUGAUCGGCCACACUGGAACUGAGACACGGUCCAGACUCCUACGGGAGGCAGCAGUAGGGAAUCUUCCGCAAUGGGCGAAAGCCUGACGGAGCAACGCCGCGUGAGUGAUGAAGGUCUUCGGAUCGUAAAACUCUGUUAUUAGGGAAGAACAAAUGUGUAAGUAACUAUGCACGUCUUGACGGUACCUAAUCAGAAAGCCACGGCUAACUACGUG